GUGGGUAGUUUGACUGGGGCGGUCUCCUCCUAAAGAGUAACGGAGGAGCACGAAGGUUGGCUAAUCCUGGUCGGACAUCAGGAGGUUAGUGCAAUGGCAUAAGCCAGCUUGACUGCGAGCGUGACGGCGCGAGCAGGUGCGAAAGCAGGUCAUAGUGAUCCGGUGGUUCUGAAUGGAAGGGCCAUCGCUCAACGGAUAAAAGGUACUCCGGGGAUAACAGGCUGAUACCGCCCAAGAGUUCAUAUCGACGGCGGUGUUUGGCACCUCGAUGUCGGCUCAUCACAUCCUGGGGCUGAAGUAGGUCCCAAGGGUAUGGCUGUUCGCCAUUUAAAGUGGUACGCGAGCUGGGUUUAGAACGUCGUGAGACAGUUCGGUCCCUAUCUGCCGUGGGCGCUGGAGAACUGAGGGGGGCUGCUCCUAGUACGAGAGGACCGGAGUGGACGCAUCACUGGUGUUCGGGUUGUCAUGCCAAUGGCACUGCCCGGUAGCUAAAUGCGGAAGAGAUAAGUGCUGAAAGCAUCUAAGCACGAAACUUGCCCCGAGAUGAGUUCUCCCUGAGACUUUAGGUCUCCUGAAGGAACGUUGAAGACGACGACGUUGAUAGGCCGGGUGUGUAAGCGCAGCGAUGCGUUGAGCUAACCGGUACUAAUGAACCGUGAGGCUUAACCUUACAACGCCGAAGCUGUU
This 687-nucleotide ribosomal RNA is filed under the name Salmonella enterica. Its description in RNAcentral is "partial 23S ribosomal RNA". It matches the Rfam family "Bacterial large subunit ribosomal RNA", at positions 2261 to 2925 of the family's 2925-position model. Lineage: Bacteria; Pseudomonadati; Pseudomonadota; Gammaproteobacteria; Enterobacterales; Enterobacteriaceae. The record is from RNAcentral. RNAcentral also lists the same sequence under 4 other names.